This 2923-nucleotide ribosomal RNA is filed under the name Staphylococcus aureus. Its description in RNAcentral is "23S ribosomal RNA". It matches the Rfam family "Bacterial large subunit ribosomal RNA". The record is from RNAcentral. Lineage: Bacteria; Bacillati; Bacillota; Bacilli; Caryophanales; Staphylococcaceae.
GNNNAAGUUAUUAAGGGCGCACGGUGGAUGCCUUGGCACUAGAAGCCGAUGAAGGACGUUACUAACGACGAUAUGCUUUGGGGAGCUGUAAGUAAGCUUUGAUCCAGAGAUUUCCGAAUGGGGAAACCCAGCAUGAGUUAUGUCAUGUUAUCGAUAUGUGAAUACAUAGCAUAUCAGAAGGCACACCCGGAGAACUGAAACAUCUUAGUACCCGGAGGAAGAGAAAGAAAAUUCGAUUCCCUUAGUAGCGGCGAGCGAAACGGGAAGAGCCCAAACCAACAAGCUUGCUUGUUGGGGUUGUAGGACACUCUAUACGGAGUUACAAAGGACGACAUUAGACGAAUCAUCUGGAAAGAUGAAUCAAAGAAGGUAAUAAUCCUGUAGUCGAAAAUGUUGUCUCUCUUGAGUGGAUCCUGAGUACGACGGAGCACGUGAAAUUCCGUCGGAAUCUGGGAGGACCAUCUCCUAAGGCUAAAUACUCUCUAGUGACCGAUAGUGAACCAGUACCGUGAGGGAAAGGUGAAAAGCACCCCGGAAGGGGAGUGAAAUAGAACCUGAAACCGUGUGCUUACAAGUAGUCAGAGCCCGUUAAUGGGUGAUGGCGUGCCUUUUGUAGAAUGAACCGGCGAGUUACGAUUUGAUGCAAGGUUAAGCAGUAAAUGUGGAGCCGUAGCGAAAGCGAGUCUGAAUAGGGCGUUUAGUAUUUGGUCGUAGACCCGAAACCAGGUGAUCUACCCUUGGUCAGGUUGAAGUUCAGGUAACACUGAAUGGAGGACCGAACCGACUUACGUUGAAAAGUGAGCGGAUGAACUGAGGGUAGCGGAGAAAUUCCAAUCGAACCUGGAGAUAGCUGGUUCUCUCCGAAAUAGCUUUAGGGCUAGCCUCAAGUGAUGAUUAUUGGAGGUAGAGCACUGUUUGGACGAGGGGCCCCUCUCGGGUUACCGAAUUCAGACAAACUCCGAAUGCCAAUUAAUUUAACUUGGGAGUCAGAACAUGGGUGAUAAGGUCCGUGUUCGAAAGGGAAACAGCCCAGACCACCAGCUAAGGUCCCAAAAUAUAUGUUAAGUGGAAAAGGAUGUGGCGUUGCCCAGACAACUAGGAUGUUGGCUUAGAAGCAGCCAUCAUUUAAAGAGUGCGUAAUAGCUCACUAGUCGAGUGACACUGCGCCGAAAAUGUACCGGGGCUAAACAUAUUACCGAAGCUGUGGAUUGUCCUUUGGACAAUGGUAGGAGAGCGUUCUAAGGGCGUUGAAGCAUGAUCGUAAGGACAUGUGGAGCGCUUAGAAGUGAGAAUGCCGGUGUGAGUAGCGAAAGACGGGUGAGAAUCCCGUCCACCGAUUGACUAAGGUUUCCAGAGGAAGGCUCGUCCGCUCUGGGUUAGUCGGGUCCUAAGCUGAGGCCGACAGGCGUAGGCGAUGGAUAACAGGUUGAUAUUCCUGUACCACCUAUAAUCGUUUUAAUCGAUGGGGGGACGCAGUAGGAUAGGCGAAGCGUGCGAUUGGAUUGCACGUCUAAGCAGUAAGGCUGAGUAUUAGGCAAAUCCGGUACUCGUUAAGGCUGAGCUGUGAUGGGGAGAAGACAUUGUGUCUUCGAGUCGUUGAUUUCACACUGCCGAGAAAAGCCUCUAGAUAGAAAAUAGGUGCCCGUACCGCAAACCGACACAGGUAGUCAAGAUGAGAAUUCUAAGGUGAGCGAGCGAACUCUCGUUAAGGAACUCGGCAAAAUGACCCCGUAACUUCGGGAGAAGGGGUGCUCUUUAGGGUUAACGCCCAGAAGAGCCGCAGUGAAUAGGCCCAAGCGACUGUUUAUCAAAAACACAGGUCUCUGCUAAACCGUAAGGUGAUGUAUAGGGGCUGACGCCUGCCCGGUGCUGGAAGGUUAAGAGGAGUGGUUAGCUUCUGCGAAGCUACGAAUCGAAGCCCCAGUAAACGGCGGCCGUAACUAUAACGGUCCUAAGGUAGCGAAAUUCCUUGUCGGGUAAGUUCCGACCCGCACGAAAGGCGUAACGAUUUGGGCACUGUCUCAACGAGAGACUCGGUGAAAUCAUAGUACCUGUGAAGAUGCAGGUUACCCGCGACAGGACGGAAAGACCCCGUGGAGCUUUACUGUAGCCUGAUAUUGAAAUUCGGCACAGCUUGUACAGGAUAGGUAGGAGCCUUUGAAACGUGAGCGCUAGCUUACGUGGAGGCGCUGGUGGGAUACUACCCUAGCUGUGUUGGCUUUCUAACCCGCACCACUUAUCGUGGUGGGAGACAGUGUCAGGCGGGCAGUUUGACUGGGGCGGUCGCCUCCUAAAAGGUAACGGAGGCGCUCAAAGGUUCCCUCAGAAUGGUUGGAAAUCAUUCAUAGAGUGUAAAGGCAUAAGGGAGCUUGACUGCGAGACCUACAAGUCGAGCAGGGUCGAAAGACGGACUUAGUGAUCCGGUGGUUCCGCAUGGAAGGGCCAUCGCUCAACGGAUAAAAGCUACCCCGGGGAUAACAGGCUUAUCUCCCCCAAGAGUUCACAUCGACGGGGAGGUUUGGCACCUCGAUGUCGGCUCAUCGCAUCCUGGGGCUGUAGUCGGUCCCAAGGGUUGGGCUGUUCGCCCAUUAAAGCGGUACGCGAGCUGGGUUCAGAACGUCGUGAGACAGUUCGGUCCCUAUCCGUCGUGGGCGUAGGAAAUUUGAGAGGAGCUGUCCUUAGUACGAGAGGACCGGGAUGGACAUACCUCUGGUGUACCAGUUGUCGUGCCAACGGCAUAGCUGGGUAGCUAUGUGUGGACGGGAUAAGUGCUGAAAGCAUCUAAGCAUGAAGCCCCCCUCAAGAUGAGAUUUCCCAACUUCGGUUAUAAGAUCCCUCAAAGAUGAUGAGGUUAAUAGGUUCGAGGUGGAAGCAUGGUGACAUGUGGAGCUGACGAAUACUAAUCGAUCGAAGACUUAAUCAA